RNAcentral lists this long non-coding RNA (3714 nucleotides) under Musa acuminata (dwarf banana). RNAcentral's name for it is "long non-coding RNA (MACU_LNC001773)". The stretch from base 214 to 339 matches the Rfam family "MIR162_1 microRNA precursor family", at positions 1 to 92 of the family's 112-position model. The record is from RNAcentral. Lineage: Eukaryota; Viridiplantae; Streptophyta; Magnoliopsida; Zingiberales; Musaceae.
UUGCUCAUGAUGAGCUCAUCCAUCGUCCCCUCUUCAUGGAAGCACAUGUCGCCCGGCUCUUGUGAUCCUCCUCUUCCUCUUCCUCGUCUCUAAUUCCAAUCCGGUCUCCAUUUCGGAUCCAAAGCGGACAACAUGAUUGCCACAGUAAGUGAUCCCCAUCUCGAAUCUCAUAUCUCCUCUCCCUUUUCGUCCUCCUCGCAGCAAUCGAGUGAUCUCUGGACGCAGCGGUUUAUCGAUCUCUUCCUGGCCUUGUCGGUCUCUUUUCGGGGUGGAUUCGAUGGUUUCUUUUCUUGCUGAGGUUACAAAGCCGGAAUCGGUCGAUAAACCUCUGCAUCCGGACUUCCGCCGACAACCAUUCCUCCGUCCUCCCCCCAACCCAAAACACUCCCCCCCCAACCCCACCUUCUUCCUCCACUUGUUUUCGUCAUCUUAUAUAAUGAUUGGGCAAUGAAGAGGUGGUAGCUGUUAGGGCUAAUUGAUACGGCCGAUUCGAUGCCGAUUUCGAUCCCUUUUUUUUACUCAGAUUAUUGUCGGCAUUCUGCAGAAUUUCAAUCAACGAAUAAUGGUGCCAUCAGCAUUUAGAUCGAUUCAAAAUGGGUGACGUCUUGAGUUGUGAUGAUGGACAGAGAAAACAGUAAAUAUGUUUGAUUUAAUGUCUCUCAGUUCUUUCUUAUGCCUUCAAUUUUUCAUUGUUCUUUUGGAUUCGUUUAUCAUUUCAUUAUCUUCACCAUUUGAUCUAUCCAUAUUUUGGAUUAUUCACUGAAUAGGACGUAAAUGUUUUGUAUUAAACAGACAGCAGAGGACUACUAGAAAUCUUUAUUUACAGAAACUACCAUUAUUGGUUAAUUCGUCAAGGAUGAGAGGUCGGAAUAUACUCUGAGAUGGCUUAAACUUUGCUUUGGGAGGACUAAAUGGGGAAAAUAAGCUCAACUGGUCAAAUUAAUGUGACAGGAUGGCACAGUUUUUAUGAAGAUGAUUGAGAUAUAUUCCAUAUUUUGAUGUUUAAACAGUUAGCCUCAGAAAUAUUUUUCAUUUAAUUUAUUCCUUCUACCAAGAUUUGUUGUUCUCCAUGGAUGUGAACCUCCCUAUAUUUGUUAUGUUUGCAAUGCUUGAAGGUGAAUCUGUAUAAAGAAUUUAAACAUAAAUAUUUUUCUAACAUUUAGCCACACGAAUAUUUUUCAUUUAAUUAAUUCCUUUUACCCAGAUUCCUUGUUCUACAUGCAUGUGAACAUCUCUAUAUUUGUUAUGUUUGCAAUGCUUGAAGGUGAAUCUGUAUAAAGAAUUUAAACAUAAAUAUUCUUCUGACAUUUAGCCACAGGAAUAUUUUUCAUUUAAUUUAUUCCUUUUACCAAGAUUCCUUGUUCUACACGGAUGUGAAACCAUCUAUAUUUGUUAUGUUUGUAAUGCGUGAAGGUGAAUCUGUAUAAAGAAUUUAAACAUCAAUAUUUUUCUAGAAAAGAGCUAUAUGGUACAUGUGUUUUUUUUUUUACUGUGAGAGCAUGUGGUGUAUUUUGUUGUGUGAAUUAUACUUGCUGAAAUAUGGUGGUGGUCAUGAAUACUGAUCUUUGGAUUAUUUAAUUGCGUGCAUGACAUAGCUACCUGUUUAUAACAUGUGUUCUGUUGGAUGUGUUUCAAAUGAUUGACAAGGUUUUAUAUUUCAUUCUUAUCUGCAAAAACAUAAAUUGCAUACUUUGUGAAUUAGAAUACAAUGCAUAUGGAAAACAAAGCAGUCAAGUAAUCUGCAUGCUGAAUGUGUGCCUGACUCUGUUUUUUGGGUAGAAGGGUCUAAAUUCUUAAUGCAUUACGAUAGACAAGGCGAGUGAGAGAAGAGAAACUUGCCAGGAACCAUUUUGAGAGAUAUAACUACAUUUAUGUAUUUCCAACCUCAUUUUCCUUGAUGUAUAAAUAGCCCUGAUAUCGUGGAUACCUUGUGUAAAAAUGAUGAUAUUUAAUUAUCAUCUUUCUUGUUUUCUUUCCUAAUGACCUUACUACCUUCUCUACUUGUUGGAUAAUUAAUAAGACAUAGUAGCUUCCCAGGGCAUAGCUGACCAUGCAUAAAAACCAACAUACCUUUGUAUUUGUAUUCAAAUCAAUUGGCAGGAUAAUAGACUUGUCUAGUUGAUUGAAAUUAUGAUAGCAGUUUAUUUUCUCUUUUUAAGGUAAAAUGUUGUUGCUAUUGCUGUGUGUCAUCAAUUAAAUGCAAGAAUAUCUUCUUGCUUUUCUUUUCUCCUCCUGUAUACUUGUGUGAAUUUUGGUAACUGUCCUAUGGAGCACAAUCUUUUUGAGGCCUUCAUGCCAUGUUAUCUUUUGUAACAUUUCAAAAGAAGUGAGAGUGUGACCAAUUAAACAGAUCGUCCGGUUCUUUCAGAUUAUUAUUCAUGCUUUAUUUUGUUAAAUCUUGAGUACUUCCUAAUUGAGGACUUUUAUUAUGUCAUUCUCAAGUGCCUGAUUUAUGUUAUUUUCUUGUUUGUCUUAGUAACUAUGAUAAAAUAGUUUGCUUCCUCUAUUAGGUCAGACUCUAUUGUUAAUGUCAUAUAGUUUCAUGUAAAGAAUGGGUCGCCUAGUGGAUGAGACCUCGAUCAAUUUAGCUAGUGUUGGAUAUGUAUGUGAAAUAUAUUAUUGAAGUUGCUCAUAUCGGAGAACACAAAAGUUACUUCAUUAGUUUUACUGAAUUUGUUCCACUUAGUCCUUGAGAUGUGUGGUUUUUUUUUUCUUUUUUUGUGCUGCCUUCUUGCAACCUUAAUAUCAACAUUCUGCAUGUUUUAGUUGGUUAGUAAAUAAAGGGUCUGCAUGAUCUUGGAACCUUAAGGUGUUAAAGGCUGUAAGAAGAUCUUUUUCCAAUGUAUGAAAACAUAUAAAAAAAAUGAUGAACCAAUUAACUUGACUAUACAAACCCCAUUUUCUUGGCCAAAAUUUAUCUUUGCAACCAUUAUAAGUUUCAGUUAUGCUCAUUCAGCGCUUGAUUUCACUCAACUUCCUUCAAAAUGAUUUGAAGAGUAGACACACAGUGUUCUACCCCAUGCUCAGAGGCUAGUAGUAUUUAGGGACCUUUUUUGCUGAACCACUUCAAUUCUAGGCCAUGAUGAAAUUACUGUUUUAUCAGCAAAGAACACACUGUGAGUGCAAUCUGAUGCUCUUUCAAGUUCAAACUCUGGUUAUCGGAGGAUCUUGUUCUCAUUUAGCCUAUUUACUGUCAGUAAAGUAUUACACCUUUCAUCUUGAGUUCAAGGGCUCAAUGAAGCCAAGUUAUGGUUAAUGUUGCAGAACUUUAUACAGUGUCUCCUUUCACUGCAUAUGCACCACCUGCAUCAUAUUUUCUUCAUUGUUCGCCCGAAUUGGUGUACUGCAAUAGUUUAUAUGCACCAAAUUUGAUGUUAUGAACGUCUCUCCUCCAUAUAUAUUCCAUAAAUUUGUUGAGCUACCAAUGUAGAACAUCGUUCAUAGUUUCUUACAGCUUGUAGCUUCGUCUUCAAACAAUCAAAGCACCUUCGCUGACGUAUGAUGCAGCUUUCUUCAUGUAGAACAGAGUGGAUCUACUUUCCAAAGAAAGGAAGGCAUCGACCCAUCUACUUGAUGGUGGACUUCCGGGCGUUCCGAGAACGCGCUCUCCCACCGUCGUUCUUCAGCAUGUGGAGCAAGAAGUCGUUCCACGUGUCGAUGGGCCCCGGCAGGCACCAGUGCACGCAGUCGUUGUACAUCGUCACGUUCUCGUGC